This 253-nucleotide ribosomal RNA is filed under the name uncultured bacterium. Its description in RNAcentral is "partial 16S ribosomal RNA". It matches the Rfam family "Bacterial small subunit ribosomal RNA", at positions 524 to 776 of the family's 1533-position model. The record is from RNAcentral.
UACGUAGGGGGCAAGCGUUGUCCGGAAUCAUUGGGCGUAAAGCGCGCGUAGGCGGCCCGAUAAGUCCGCUAUAAAAGUCCAGGGCUCAACCCUGGAAAGCCGGUGGAUACUGUCGGGCUAGAGUACGGAAGAGGCAAGUGGAAUUCCUGGUGUAGCGGUGGAAUGCGCAGAUAUCAGGAGGAACACCUAUAGCGAAGGCAGCUUGCUGGGACGUUACUGACGCUAAGGCGCGAAAGCGUGGGGAGCGAACAGG